RNAcentral lists this transfer RNA (66 nucleotides) under Staphylinoidea sp. 6 KM-2017. RNAcentral describes it as "tRNA-Glu". Lineage: Eukaryota; Metazoa; Arthropoda; Insecta; Coleoptera. The record is from RNAcentral.
AUUUAUAUAGUUUAUUUAAAACAUUAUAGUUUCAGUAUAAAAAUAAGAUUUAAUUCUUUAUAAAUA